CAGUAGCCACGGUAAUACGGAGGGUGCAAGCGUUAAUCGGAAUUACUGGGCGUAAAGCGCACGCAGGCGGUCUGACAAGUCAGAUGUGAAAUCCCCGGGCUUAACCUGGGAACUGCAUUUGAAACUGUCAGGCUGGAGUCUUGUAGAGGGGGGUGGAAUUCCAGGUGUAGCGGUGAAAUGCGUAGAGAUCUGGAGGAAUACCGGUGGCGAAGGCGGCCCCCUGGACAAAGACUGACGCUCAGGUGCGAAAGCGUGGGGAGCAAACAGGAUUAGAGACCCCUGUAGUCCCUGUCUCUUAUAC
This 301-nucleotide ribosomal RNA is filed under the name uncultured bacterium. RNAcentral's name for it is "partial 16S ribosomal RNA". It matches the Rfam family "Bacterial small subunit ribosomal RNA", at positions 509 to 807 of the family's 1533-position model. The record is from RNAcentral.